Long non-coding RNA from Ahaetulla prasina, 380 nucleotides. RefSeq lists it as uncharacterized. The record is from RefSeq and is a predicted model, not a curated record. Lineage: Eukaryota; Metazoa; Chordata; Lepidosauria; Squamata; Colubridae. The transcript has 3 exons.
GCGGAAGAAAGGGAAUCGCCGCCCGCCUCUCUCUUCGGCUGAAGGACUUUGAGUUUAUUAUUAAACUCCGACCCGAGAGAGCGAGCGCGGAGAAUUUUGCUUUAAAUGUAAAACAACAACAAUGUACAUUGCUGUACCGGGCAAUGAAGUCUGUGAUGAUGAUUACUAUUGAAAUGAGUCAUACCACAAUUUAUGUGACCUUUCUCCACAAUGCAGUGAAAGCGCUGGGUAAAACGUUCCAGAAAACAACUCAGCAUAAGUUUUGAAGGUUUUGUUUAUGUUUUACUUGCAAUGAAGAAAAUAAAGAGAUACUGUUACAGGGUGAUACAUGACAGAUUCCAUAAACUUUAUACAAAUUGGCACAAUCCAAAUGAACAGCG